UUUCCCUCAGGAUAGCUGGCACUCGCUUGAGCGAGUCUCAUCUGGUAAAGCGAAUGAUUAGAGGCCUUGGGGCCGAAACGACCUCAACCUAUUCUCAAACUUUAAAUGGGUGAGAUCUCUGGCUUGCUUGAACGUUGAAGCCACGAGAUUUAUUAUUAAAACUUGGAUCAGAGUGCCAAGUGGGCCAAUUUUGGUAAGCAGAACUGGCGCUGUGGGA
Molecule: ribosomal RNA, 217 nt
Filed under: Eutrichosoma mirabile
Lineage: Eukaryota; Metazoa; Arthropoda; Insecta; Hymenoptera; Pteromalidae
Description: partial 28S ribosomal RNA
Rfam family: Eukaryotic large subunit ribosomal RNA
Source: RNAcentral